Molecule: non-coding RNA, 424 nt
Organism: Python bivittatus (Burmese python)
Lineage: Eukaryota; Metazoa; Chordata; Lepidosauria; Squamata; Pythonidae
Source: RefSeq, a predicted model, not a curated record
AGCUGAGCUAAUGACUCUUGUUCAGGUGCUGCCUCAGAGAAAAUGCUGCAAAUUCAGGAGCUUAGCAUCUCCUUUGCGCAGAAGAAAGACAAGCAGAUGCUUCCAUUCACUGGCUCAUCUGGGGAAGAUCCAGAAGAGAGGCAUGCUCCAGGUCCUGUCCAUUAGAGAAUGUCAUCUGCCAAGACCCAUGAAGAGAGCCUUGCCUGUUGUGGUGUCCACCCUCAUCAUUCCCCUUGAGAAGACCUUGGUUUAGAAAGAACCACCGCACCCUCUGAAGCAUUGGGCUGGCUCAAAAGAUGGCUGUCUCUGCUUAAUGAGCAUAUCAACACCUUGGACAAUACAUAUCAACACCUUUUCUGUAAAGCCUCUUCCUGGGAGCUACAUCCUGUUCAUGUUAGCACGUGGGAAGAAAGAAAGCCAAAGG